This 254-nucleotide ribosomal RNA is filed under the name uncultured bacterium. RNAcentral describes it as "partial 16S ribosomal RNA". It matches the Rfam family "Bacterial small subunit ribosomal RNA", at positions 524 to 776 of the family's 1533-position model. The record is from RNAcentral.
UACGGGGGGGGCAAGCGUUGUUCGGAAUUACUGGGCGUAAAGGGCGCGUAGGCGGCCUGCUAAGUCGGACGUGAAAUCCCUCGGCUCAACCGGGGAACUGCGUCCGAUACUGGCGAGGCUUGAAUCCGGGAGAGGGAUGUGGAAUUCCAGGUGUAGCGGUGAAAUGCGUAGAUAUCAGGAGGAACACCGGUGGCGAAGGCGGCUUUCUGGACAGAAACUGACGCUGAUGCGCGAAAGCUAGGGGAGCAAACAGG